Molecule: ribosomal RNA, 253 nt
Filed under: uncultured bacterium
Lineage: Bacteria
Description: partial 16S ribosomal RNA
Rfam family: Bacterial small subunit ribosomal RNA
Source: RNAcentral
UACGUGUGGGGCAAGCGUUGUUCGGAAUUACUGGGCAUAAAGGGUGCGUAGGUGGCUUGUUAAGUCAGGGGUGAAAGUUUUCGGCCCAACCGGAAAAUGGCCUUUGAUACUGGCGAGCUCGAGUGCGUGAGGGGUAACCGGAACGAGCAGUGUAGCGGUGAAAUGCGUAGAUAUUGCUCGGAAGGCCAACGGCGAAGGCAGGUUACUGGUGCGCAACUGACACUGAGGCACGAAAGCGUGGGGAGCAAACAGG